AGAGUUUGAUCAUGGCUCAAAACGUACGCUGGCGGCACGCCUAACACAUGCAAGUCGAACGCAGUAGCAAUACUGAGUGGCAGACGGGUGAGUAACAUGUGGGAAUCUGCCUUGUGGUUCAGGACAACAUUGGGAAACCGAUGCUAAUACUGGAUAAGCCCUUACGGGGAAAGUUUUAAUGCCAUAAGAUGAGCCCGCAUUUGAUUAGUUAGUUGGUGAGGUAAUGGCUCACCAAGACAAUGAUCAAUAGCUGAUCUGAGAGGAUGAUCAGCCACACGGGGACUGAGACACGGCCCAGACUCCUACGGGAGGCAGCAGUGGGGAAUCUUGCACAAUGGAGGAAACUCUGAUGCAACGAUGCCGCGUGAGUGAAGAAGGCCUUUGGGUUGUAAAGCUCUUUUGUAGGGGAAGAUAAUGACUGUACCCUAAGAAUAAGGUCCGGCUAACUUCGUGCCAGUAGCCGCGGUAAUACNAAGGGACCUAGCGUACUUCGGAAUUACUGGGCGUAAAGCGCGCGUAGGCCGU
This 525-nucleotide ribosomal RNA is filed under the name uncultured Alphaproteobacteria bacterium. Its description in RNAcentral is "bacterial SSU rRNA". It matches the Rfam family "Bacterial small subunit ribosomal RNA", at positions 8 to 579 of the family's 1533-position model. The record is from RNAcentral. Lineage: Bacteria; Pseudomonadati; Pseudomonadota; Alphaproteobacteria.